UACGGAGGAUGCAAGCGUUAUCCGGAAUGAUUGGGCGUAAAGCGUCCGCAGGUGGCUGUGUAAGUCUGCUGUCAAAGAGCGAAGCUCAACUUCGUAAAGGCAGUGGAAACUACACGGCUAGAGUGCGUUCGGGGCAGAGGGAAUUCCUGGUGUAGCGGUGAAAUGCGUAGAGAUGGGGGAGAACACUCGUGGCGAAGGCGGCCAGCUAGACCAGUUCUGACACUGAGGCGCGACAGCGUGGGGAGCAAACAGG
RNAcentral lists this ribosomal RNA (253 nucleotides) under uncultured bacterium. RNAcentral's name for it is "partial 16S ribosomal RNA". It matches the Rfam family "Bacterial small subunit ribosomal RNA", at positions 524 to 776 of the family's 1533-position model. The record is from RNAcentral.